Molecule: long non-coding RNA, 204 nt
Filed under: Zostera marina
Lineage: Eukaryota; Viridiplantae; Streptophyta; Magnoliopsida; Alismatales; Zosteraceae
Description: long non-coding RNA (ZMAR_LNC000625)
Source: RNAcentral
CUGAUUACGUCAGUCACUCCCAGCAACGCCCUUCAAACAAGGAAUAGGGUUCCGUCGCUAUAUGCCGGACCCCCGGAAAGACUUCCACGGUGCGGAGCACGUGUCUACGUCAAGAGCUCAAGUUAACACUCGGGAGUCGCCGAUUGGGACUACCAAGUCGCCGACUCCAGGGGGGAAUCGCCAACUCUACGCCUCGUGGACAGC